GCUUUGGCAUAGUAGACUGGCCACAGGGUGAGCUUAACAAAUUAGAUACUAAAACUAGGAAGAUGCUCACCCUACAUAAAAUUACAUACAGAAACCAAUGCAUGGAUAGAAUAUAUCUCCCUCGUCGAGAAGGCGGCUUAGGUCUUAUGGAGAUCAACCAGACUUAUAGAGCAUCUAUAAUAAGUAUUGGGCAGUACUUAAAGAGCUCUCAAGAAGAAGUUAUGAAAAAGGUUAUGCAACAUCAUAUUAAGACUAUGCCACAACAGACCCCUAUUAUUAAAUUGGCAGAAAACUUUGGAGAUCUUUUGCAAGAGAGAGAAAGCAAUGAUCUGACACCUGCAACAACACUAGCAAGACAGGCCAGGGAAAAAUACAGCAAAAGAGAACAAAAACAUCGAAUGAACAGAUGGAAACAGCACAAAAGGGCUGGCCGAUUCCAAGAAGAACUCGAAAAGGAAUACAUAGACAAAGAAGGAUCUAUGCGGUGGCUUACAAAUGGAGAACUUAGUUUUGAUGGAGAAAUAAUUAUAGUUGGAGCGCAAGAUCAGGGACUACUAACAAAUGGCUUCAAAAAAAUGGCAGGAAUUUCACA
Thalassophryne amazonica is the source of this 592-nucleotide long non-coding RNA. RefSeq lists it as uncharacterized. The record is from RefSeq and is a predicted model, not a curated record. Lineage: Eukaryota; Metazoa; Chordata; Actinopteri; Batrachoidiformes; Batrachoididae. The transcript has 2 exons.